RNAcentral lists this long non-coding RNA (316 nucleotides) under Prunus persica (peach). RNAcentral's name for it is "long non-coding RNA (PPER_LNC003820)". Lineage: Eukaryota; Viridiplantae; Streptophyta; Magnoliopsida; Rosales; Rosaceae. The record is from RNAcentral.
AACUUGCCAAAGCAUGUACGCAUGAGAACAAAGAAUUGCGUCCAAGUAUGCAAUCUAUUGUGGUCGCCUUGAUGACGCUCUCAUCCUCAACUGAGGAUUGGGAUGUUGGAUCCUUAUAUGAAAAUCAAGCGCUCUCACCCUCAACUGAGGAUUGGGAUGUUGGAUCCUUAUAUGAAAAUCAAGCGCUCUCACCCUCAACUGCGGAUUGGGAUGUUGGAUCCUUCUGUGAAAGAGAAAGUCAAUCGUCAAGCGUCAAUCUGAUGUCGGGAAGUCAGAAUCUACAAGUGCAUUGUUGUGUUUAGCAUUAGGAAGUUUC